Long non-coding RNA from Scleropages formosus (Asian bonytongue), 597 nucleotides. RefSeq lists it as uncharacterized. The transcript has 2 exons. The record is from RefSeq and is a predicted model, not a curated record. Lineage: Eukaryota; Metazoa; Chordata; Actinopteri; Osteoglossiformes; Osteoglossidae.
ACAAAUAACUGGGGGGCAAAAACCCAGCCAGCAGGUACAGAACUGGACAGUGGUCAUCAAUCAAGUCUACUGCCCCAAGACAACAUUAUCAGAGUUGUUCUGUUUUCAAACAAGCACUGGCAGCAAACCCUGUCAAACAGAAGAAGUAUUAAGAACCACAGAUCACAGGGUUUAACUGUUUCAAUGGGGGAGCACCAUUUCUGCAAACUGUACAUAGGUCUACAAUUCCAAAAUCUGAAGAGCUCAAAACCAAAUGUUUUCUCCUAAGUUUUGAGCCAAACCUGUAAAAAACAAAACCCGAUGAUGACGACGACAAAGGCAAAACUGGCGCCACCCUCUCCUCCGAGAUCCUCAAGCAACCAGAUGUAAUGAACAUUCAUCGCGUGUAUACAUGCAGCACACGAACGAAGAAGAAGGGGGAGAGAACCGAGGCCACCGGCUGUCACACACACUGACACUCUGUGACACAGGUACGCAGCCCUGCUCGGCAACUCACUGCAUACUCGCCCGUCCGAAGGCUGUCUGCUGCCAGCUCAACACCUCUGGGCUCAUUUAUUUAAUAUAAACUAUUUAAAAAAAAAAAAAAAAAAAAAAAAA